UGGGGAAUAUUGCACAAUGGGCGCAAGCCUGAUGCAGCAACGCCGCGUGAACGAUGAAGGUCUUCGGAUCGUAAAGUUCUGUUGCAGGGGAAGAUAAUGACGGUACCCUGUGAGGAAGCCCCGGCUAACUACGUGCCAGCAGCCGCGGUAAUACGUAGGGGGCUAGCGUUAUCCGGAUUUACUGGGCGUAAAGGGUGCGUAGGUGGUCUUUCAAGUCGGUGGUUAAAGGCUACGGCUCAACCGUAGUUAGCCUCCGAAACUGGAAGACUUGAGUGCAGGGGAGGAAAGUGGAAUUCCCAGUGUAGCGGUGAAAUGCGUAGAUAUUGGGAGGAACACCAGUGGCGAAGGCGGCUUUCUGGACUGCAACUGACACUGAGGCACGAAAGAGUGGGUAGCAAACAGG
RNAcentral lists this ribosomal RNA (403 nucleotides) under Verrucomicrobiota bacterium. Its description in RNAcentral is "Verrucomicrobia bacterium partial 16S ribosomal RNA". It matches the Rfam family "Bacterial small subunit ribosomal RNA", at positions 355 to 776 of the family's 1533-position model. The record is from RNAcentral. Lineage: Bacteria; Pseudomonadati; Verrucomicrobiota.